This is a non-coding RNA of Paramormyrops kingsleyae, 3876 nucleotides long. The record is from RefSeq and is a predicted model, not a curated record. Lineage: Eukaryota; Metazoa; Chordata; Actinopteri; Osteoglossiformes; Mormyridae.
CAUCUCUGGCUUUCUAGGAUGACCUAGGUCGCUCAGAGUGUGCUGCAGAUGGCGCAGAGGGAGUGAAUAGCUUUUUUAGUACAGUCUUACAGCUCUGAAGCACGUUUGGCAUUAUUUUUGACUCAGUGUUGAAAUCUCUGACUGAUACAUCAGGGCCAUAAAGAUGGGAAUUGGGAAAGGCCAUGAGAAGUACCAGCUGGCAGCUACAUCUGAGCAAGAUGGCAAGAAAAAGUCUAAGGGGAAGAAGAAAGAGAAGGACAUGGAUGAGCUGAAGAAGGAAGUGGACCUGGAUGACCACAAAUUGACGCUGGAUGAACUUCACCGGAAAUACGGCACAGAUUUGAGCAGGGGUUUGACCAUCAUGCGUGCCGCAGAGAUCCUUGCCCGUGACGGCCCCAAUGCCUUGACUCCACCCCCCACCACUCCAGAGUGGGUCAAGUUCUGCAGGCAGCUGUUUGGCGGGUUCUCCAUGCUGUUGUGGAUUGGUGCCAUUCUCUGCUUCCUGGCAUAUGGAAUCCAGGCUGCCUCUGAAGAUGAGCCUGCCAACGAUAAUUUGUACCUUGGGGUUGUGCUUUCUGCUGUUGUCAUCAUCACUGGCUGCUUCUCCUACUACCAAGAAGCUAAAAGCUCCAAAAUCAUGGACUCUUUCAAGAACCUGGUUCCUCAGCAAGCCUUGGUGAUCCGGGAUGGUGAGAAGAAGAGCAUCAAUGCCGAGGAUGUAGUAGUAGGAGACCUGGUGGAGGUGAAAGGAGGAGACAGAAUCCCCGCUGACUUGCGCAUUAUUUCUGCUCAUGGUUGCAAGGUGGACAACUCCUCUCUCACCGGAGAAUCAGAACCUCAAACUCGGUCUCCUGACUUUUCCAAUGACAACCCCCUGGAGACCAGAAACAUUGUAUUCUUCUCCACUAACUGUGUAGAAGGCACUGCCCGUGGUAUUGUCAUCAACACCGGAGACCGUACCGUCAUGGGCCGCAUCGCCACCCUUGCCUCGAGCUUAGAGGUCGGACGUACCCCAAUAGCUAUCGAAAUCGAACAUUUCAUCCACAUCAUCACGGGUGUGGCUGUCUUCCUGGGCGUGACCUUCUUCAUCCUCUCCCUCAUUCUUGGAUAUGUUUGGCUGGAAGCUGUCAUCUUCCUCAUCGGGAUCAUUGUGGCUAAUGUGCCUGAGGGGCUUCUGGCCACUGUAACUGUGUGCCUGACCCUAACUGCCAAACGUAUGGCUAAGAAGAACUGCCUAGUGAAAAAUCUGGAGGCUGUAGAGACCCUGGGCUCUACCUCCACCAUCUGUUCUGACAAGACAGGCACCUUAACUCAGAACCGCAUGACUGUGGCUCACAUGUGGUUUGACAACCAGAUCCAUGAGGCUGACACCACAGAGAACCAGAGUGGCACCUCCUUUGAUAGGAGCUCUGCCACUUGGGCUGCCCUGGCCAGAGUUGCAGGCCUCUGCAAUCGUGCUGUCUUCCUGGCUGAACAGAGCAGUGUUCCUAUUCUGAAGAGAGAUGUUGCAGGAGAUGCAUCAGAGUCAGCCCUGCUGAAAUGCAUUGAACUGUGCUGUGGCUCUGUGAAGGACAUGAGGGAUAAGUAUCCCAAAAUUGCAGAGAUUCCUUUUAACUCUACCAACAAAUAUCAGCUUUCCAUCCACAAGAACCCUAACACCUCUGAGUCGAAGCACUUGCUGGUCAUGAAGGGAGCACCAGAGAGGAUCCUGGACCGCUGUUCCACCAUCCUGAUCCAGGGCAAGGAGCAGCCCCUGGAUGAUGAGAUGAAGGAUGCCUUUCAAAAUGCCUAUCUGGAGCUGGGUGGCCUAGGAGAGAGAGUAUUAGGAUUCUGCCAUUUCUUCCUUCCGGAUGACCAGUUUGCUGAGAGCUUUCAGUUUCACACUGAAGAUGUGAACUUCCCCACUGAAAAUCUGUGCUUUGUUGGUCUCAUGUCAAUGAUUGACCCUCCUCGUGCUGCAGUGCCUGAUGCUGUAGGCAAAUGCCGGAGUGCUGGAAUCAAAGUUAUCAUGGUUACUGGUGAUCAUCCAAUCACAGCUAAGGCCAUUGCAAGGGGUGUGGGUAUCAUCUCAGAGGGCAAUGAGACUGUGGAGGACAUUGCUGCCCGGUUGAACAUUCCAGUUCGAGAAGUGAACCCCAGAGAUGCCAAGGCCUGUGUGGUCCAUGGGGGAGAACUGAAGGAUCUGACCUCAGAUCAGCUGGAUGACAUCCUCAAGCACCACACAGAAAUUGUAUUUGCUAGGACCUCUCCACAGCAGAAGCUGAUCAUUGUGGAGGGCUGCCAGAGACAGGGUGCCAUUGUAGCUGUGACAGGCGAUGGUGUCAAUGACUCCCCCGCCUUGAAGAAGGCCGAUAUUGGCGUGGCUAUGGGCAUUGCAGGAUCUGAUGUCUCCAAGCAGGCUGCUGAUAUGAUCCUUCUGGAUGACAACUUUGCCUCCAUUGUCACUGGGGUUGAAGAAGGUCGUUUAAUCUUUGACAAUCUAAAGAAAUCCAUUGCCUACACAUUGACCAGCAAUAUCCCAGAGAUCUCUCCAUUCCUCCUUUUCAUUAUUGCCAACAUCCCUCUACCCCUGGGAACAGUCACCAUCCUCUGUAUUGACUUGGGAACUGACAUGGUUCCUGCUAUCUCCCUGGCCUACGAAGCUGCCGAGAGUGACAUCAUGAAGAGGCAGCCCAGAAAUCCCAUAACAGACAAGUUGGUGAAUGAGAGACUUAUCAGUAUAGCCUAUGGUCAGAUAGGCAUGAUGCAAGCAACGGCAGGGUUCUUCACCUACUUUGUCAUCCUGGCUGAGAAUGGUUUCCUUCCCUCUACACUCCUGGGAAUCCGUGUUCGCUGGGACGACAAAUAUGACAAUGACCUGGAGGACAGCUAUGGCCAGCAGUGGACCUAUGAACAGAGAAAAAUUGUGGAAUACACCUGCCACACUGCUUUCUUUGCCAGCAUUGUGAUUGUACAGUGGGCUGACUUGAUCAUCUGCAAGACCAGAAGAAAUUCUAUACUUCAACAAGGCAUGAAGAAUAAGAUACUCAUCUUUGGACUAUUUGAGGAAACAGCUCUGGCUGCCUUUCUCUCUUACUGCCCAGGCAUGGAUGUUGCCCUUAGAAUGUACCCAUUAAAACCUUGCUGGUGGUUCUGCGCCUUCCCCUACUCCCUCCUCAUCUUCCUGUAUGAUGAAGCCAGAAGGUACAUCCUUCGGCGUAGUCCGGGAGGCUGGGUAGAAAGGGAAACAUACUACUAAGCAAACAAUGUCCUGUCUGGAUCAGCAAUUCAAUUUGGGAUCUGCAACGGAUCUGCUUCCAUUGAAGUCAUCUUGCACUUAUCAUAAAUAUUUUGGAUUCGUUUAUACAGUAUAUAAGAAAAACAAUUAUUGAAUAAAACUCUUUAUUCUUCUUCUCUACAGAAGUUUGAAAGGACUAAAUCAUGAUGUAGCUUUGAUAUGUUACUAGUAACAUAACUGUUUCCAUACAGCAUCUUAUUAAAUACCAUUUCUUUAAGUUAUUGAUUGUACUUGGUGCUGUCCAAAUGGUAGGAUUUGUUUUAAUUUAGUCCAAAGAAUCAGCACCCAGUUAAUUGAUAUGAUCAAGUUUAAGAGACAGAGGCAAGAUUUCAUCCUAGCGUACAGCCCAGUGUUUAAACUAAAUAUCACAUUUAGCCAAAUAAAGUAAAUAAAAUAUUUUUCAUCAGAUACAUUUAUUUUUUAAUUCUUGUUUAAAAACCUCUACAACAGCACUGCAUAUCCUAACUUACAUAAAAUUUGAUGACAAGUAUGUUAUUCUGAAUGAAAAAAUACCCUGCAGAUAGAAAAAUCUCCCUAUCUACCAACAGCAGUGAAAGAUGAUUAUUGCAGCGUCAUUAAUAAACGAAAAUCUUAUCAGG